UUACAACAACUUGAAUGAAGUAAAAUCAUAAUUGAAAAGUAAAGUUUGUUAGAUCUGAAAUGGUAUCAGAGCAAUUUUUCUUCUUCAAGCUUUGCUUCGUCAAACUUCAUUCUUCUUCCGUAAGCUCAAAUCAUCUUUCAUUCUUUGUUCAUACCUCUUGAAUCUAUCAUCAUCUUCUUCUCCGAUUCAUUCUCGACAUUUUCAUCAGAGAUUUUCUACUUUUUUCUUCGUUUUCUUGCUUUUCCGAUCGCGUUACAUUCCGAUCGAGUUCUUUCUUCUUCUCCGGCUUGAUUCGAGCUUCAAUUUCAUCGAUCAAGCUUGGUUUUCAUCAAAUCAUCUGUGUCGAGCACUGAUCUCUUCGAAUCGAGCUCCAGUUUCUUUGAAUCGAGCAUUGAUUUCUUCACUUAUUGUCUUGAUUUCUCAGAUUCGAGUUCUUCUCCUUCGAUUUUGAGAUCAGAUUUCCUCGAUCGUUGUAAUUGCUUCUUUGAAGCUUGAAUUUCUUCUGAUUCAUUGUUGAUUCAGAAUUCGUAGUGAUUUUCCACUUCGCGAUCCAUUUCUGUAGUUGCUUCGAGCUUCUUCUUCUGGUUUCCUGUGCGAUUUUUGCUGUUCUUCUUUGAAUUUGAGCUGAAAUCAAUUAUCAACGGUGAAACGGAAGGAUAAUUCAGAGUAUCGAACAAUCUAAACAGGAUUUACCAGGAGAUCAUUUCAUCGGAGUCUUGUGAGAAGCCUGUUGGUUUUAAUUCACCUCACAUUGCUUCAAGUAUACCAGAUCGUGCUUGAUUUUGCCGAUUUUGGUUAUUUUGUGCGGUUCUUUUGCCGGAUUUUGCUUGGAUUGAGGUUUUCCAAGUUUCAGCUCACGGUUACUUCGUCGAUCUGUUCAGAGAUCUUCCAUUUGUGAAGAAGAUAUUUCUCUGCUUUGUUUCAUCUCUUCCGUUGAGUUUGUUUUUUCUGCAAUUUCAUUUGAUUCGAGUGUUGCGAUUAUCACGAUGUGUUGAUAUCGUUUUGCACUUGUUUUGUGAUUGCUAUUGGGAUGGAACCAUUUUCUGGUUUUGUUGAGUUUAUGGCUCCACCAGUAGAGAUUAUUGUCGAUGACAAUCUAUUUGGAGAAAAUCCAUGGUUGAAUUUGACGUUGGAUCUUGUACUCAUCUACGGAUCUCUUCCACGGCCAUCAGAUUUACAACCUCUUGUGCGAUGAUUAUGAUCUUCAAUUGUUCUGGUUUCACUAUUUUUGUGAACUUGGUGCCAUAAUGUUACCUGUUGUUAAGCCUCCUUGUCGAAACAGAAGAUGGAUGUGCCUUUAUUGAGGUGUUGUGUGUUGAUCAACUGUUUGUCAUGCACAUCAAGCAUGGAUUUCAAGGACUUACAGAGUUGAUUAAGAAGAUGGAAGUAUCAUCUAAGCAGUGUUGACUUGCUGGCUUGUCUUUGUCAUUCCAAGUUUCAUUCUCAAGUUCAAGAAUGUAUGGGAAGACUAGAGAAGCUGCUCACUUACUGCAGUUGUGUGUUAAAUUCUUGUUUGUUUUCAACUGAUAUUUUCAUGGCCGGAUAUAUCCGCAAGCAUCCCUUCACCAAGUUCUGGUCCAAACCAGAGGAAGUUUUGGGUUUCUAUUUGGAUAUGAAAUAUUGUAGUUUACACAUCUCUGGUUUGUUUAACUUUCUCUUGAUGAGCAAAAGGUCAUUGCAGAAGCUGGUUUGUGGUUGAUGGUUAGUUGAAUUUGGUUUUGGAAAGAGGAUGCUUGGUUAAAAGAGAUAAGAUCCUUCACUUGUCUACGGCUUGUUACUCCUAUGGCUGGUUCGUGAUGUUUUUUUUGCUACAAAACCAUGGAGACUUCAAGUUUCUUUGAGCAGUAUUCUUUACUUGUAAUACUCACCAGUUUUAUCAAGCUCAUCUUGGAUUCAAGCCACUCACGUCAAAUAAGAUCUAUCAAGUUCACUUGAAUGUUUCUCUCAUCGAGAAGGUUAUGGAGGAUACACUAAUGGAGUUUUCAAGUCCAAGAUGAAAGUUCUUUGAUACUUUCAUCUUGAGGGGGAGUAUUAGAGAUCAUAUAUCGGUUAGGCUAGAUUGGUUUAAGUUGGUUUAGCUUUAGUUUCGGUUUAGUUGAUGUAUUUAAGAAUUCUUGUAUACUUCAUUGACACUUGAAUGAAGUAAAAUCAUAAUUGAAAAGUAAAGUUUGUUAGAUCUGAAAAGUUUUAAAACUUGAGAUA
This is a long non-coding RNA of Arabidopsis lyrata subsp. lyrata, 2202 nucleotides long. RefSeq lists it as uncharacterized. The transcript has 2 exons. NCBI's taxonomy places the organism in Eukaryota, Viridiplantae, Streptophyta, Magnoliopsida, Brassicales, Brassicaceae. The record is from RefSeq and is a predicted model, not a curated record.